UGUAGCUAAUGACGAUAUCACCUGAAUGACAGCAGAUGCAGUUCAUUCUUUUAAUUGCAGACGGAGCUCUCAAACUAGUUCAUCUUCUUCUAUGUCGCUCGGAUUCCGAUCUAAGUCGCUCGGAUUCCGAUCUAAGUCGGUUGGAAAAUGACUUUCUUUGUUUUGUCUUCAUAUAAGAAGUAGAUUAUAACAUCGAUAAUUUUGCUACGUGUUGUUCUUGUCACACUGAGGGAUUUUGACUUGUUUACCUUUCUGGAGUAAUUUAGUGUAUCCCAGUGGAAGAAAGAAAUAGUCGAGAUUCUUGUUCGACAGCUUCUACCUUCAGUUAGUCUUUCCUGAAACUUUUCCUUUUCUGGACUCGUUCUCCUUCAAAAUACUCACAGCAAUGUUGCAAUGGAUGGGAGGUUCCAGGCGGAAAGUGACGACUUCAAGGAAGUCUAUGCACAAGAGGCAAAAGCAAUACUUUGAGCAAAAGAAAAGGCAGCAACAGCAGCAGGCAGCGGGGUCGGAGAGCUAUACUGCUGAUGGAAUGAACCUGUGCGUCCAGCAUCACAAUGAACACCGAUCACUGGAUGUUCUCAAUUUGCUAAACUUGUCGACGGCUUCUCAAGAAUGCAAGUCUACUUGCCCUAGUGGAAAGGAAGAUCUAGAGGUCAGUGGUUCAGAGGUAAAGUACUACAUCAAAAAAGGACCAUCAACAAUUCUUAACCACACAGAUGCUCCGGCCAACUCUGUUGAGUGUAAGAAAGAAAGAAGUCCAUCACAUUGCCAAGAGGAAGUUGUAUCUCCAAAGAAUCUACUUAGCGUCCACGAUGAUAAUCACAUUGUUCUGAACGGUGCUGGUUCUAAAGUUGAUCUCUGGAAGACAGCACCUGAGCACCAGCUCUCUGUUCUUGAUUUGGUUGGUGAUGAGGAGCCAAAUGGUAAUAAGGAAAGUGGCCCGAUGUAUGAAGCUCACGCUGCAUUUUCAGUUGAAGGUUUGGGUGAAGUGGGAACAGAGACACCAGUCCAUUCACCGCCACAACCUGGCAGAUAUUUUUCUAUUGGUCGCUCCUCACCUUUGAAGGCUACAAGGCAACUCAAUAUGUCGAAGAACCAUAACUAUCUGCUGGAUGACCUUGAACUAGACGUGGAUAAAAUGAUGAAAGAUAUCAAUAUGCCCCCGAGUGGAAGUUCUCUUGACUUUUCAUCAGGCAAAAUGCAUUCAUAUAGCAAUCCCAAUCAGAAAUUAGCUGCUGUCAGAUACUGCAUGCAACAUGAUGGUCAUGGUAGUCAAAUAAAUAGUUUACUUGGUGAAAGAAGUAUCUUUAAUGACCUUGAAAACGGCAAAGAAGAUAUAUGGGAUGCUAGGUCUUGCUUCCUAGCUGACAACUUGCUUGAUGAGAGGGAAUUUGAUGCAUCUAGGAAGAACUGGUCACCUGAAAUAGAUGGUAAUUCUCUGGAUUUUUGGAAAUAUGGGAACUCUGUGAUGUCAGAUUAUGCUUUUGAAGGCCCCGAUCUACUGAAGAAAAGGGAUGCUACAACGGCAAUGGACAGAUUCAACAUCAUAGAGCCACCUGCUUCAUUUUACAAGCACCAAACAGCAGAAAAUGAUCUUGACUUCAUGAAUUACAAUGGAGCAAGACGCCCUACACCAGGGAGAAAGUUUGGUUUUGGGGAUGUAACCAAGCAAUCGGAUUGGUUUUGCUUUGCAACAGAUGAUGGAAGAGAUAAUAUGUGCAUGCUGAGCAGCGAAGAGUCCUGCUCAUCCAGUGCAGUGAGGGGCGAAGUAACCAAUAAUUCACAGUCGAAUUCAGCAGCAAGACGGACUAGAAGACGCAGCAAUGCCUGUAUUAGCCCUCGAAAAAAGUAUGGUGUGAACAGCAUUUUUGGCAAAGAGACGGGACAUAAAAGCAAGGAUGAAAUUGGACAAGGGAAUGAUGUGCGAGGGUCAGGAAAAUUUCCGAAUGUGUCAAAACUAUCCCACUCUAACAAUCCCCUCCAGAAAAAUUUAGGGCCAAACGAUAGUUGGUUAUGUGAUGAAGGCUAUACUACUGGGAAAGUGAAUUCAGGUUUCGGUCCUUUCUCUCGAGAUUCAGAGACAAAAAUUCCAUCCUCAGGCUCCAAGUUUUGGACUGGAGAUCCUCCCAGUGAAUUUCCCAUUCCUGGAUCAGAUAUUGAUGCGAGAUCUUCAUUAUUUGGUAGAUCUAAACUUGGAGGAAGUUUGGCAUGCUCACGCUCUGGCAGUUUCAUCGCUGAAAAGUUACCGGUUCACGAUUCCCCUGUAUUCUCGAAGUUUGAGUUUGGGCCAACGGUGCCAGAUUUGUCUCCAGAUUCUAAAUUGGAAGGCACAACUCCAGAAUCUUCCUUUGUGGCUGGAUAUCAUGGUGAGAAACCCUUUCCUGAUAUAUCAACAGAUGAAAGUGCUAGCAAAGAUGUGGAAAAUAAAGCAAAAAUCCAGCCACAUGACCGUGAAGAAUUGGAGCUCAUGGGAGAAGUUCAAAUUGGCAAUGGCUUAUUUUCAGAGAAUGAAAAGGCAAUAGAUGCUGCAAGUUCCGGGGGCAACAAUUGUGGAUGCAAAAACGCGGAAGAUGAAGCUCCAGAGCCGAUGCAGAAUUUAAAAACAACAUAUUCGCCUCACCAUGCGGAGCAGGCAUCAAGGUCUCUUAUAAUCUCUGACAAACUUGAAAGUAUCGUAGAAGAACAGAAACUCCAUUGCCGUAAUGAAUCUACAAUUCCUUGUCAGAAUGGGGAUAAAGUAAUUUUCUCCCUGACGGAGGAAUCUAUUAUACUCAAACGUUGCCGCAGAUAUACAAGUUAUGAGGCCUCAGGAAAGAAGGCUAAUAAGAAAAACCGAGAGCAAAUGCGACAACUCAUCUUGUCAGGUGAUGAUGCUUGAAAGCUACGUUCUUCAGCUUCUUUCUGUGAAGAAGGUACCGAUGCAUGCAUCUGCACAGGAUACCACAAAGAAGGUAGGUGCUCAUCUUCCCAUGCAAAGCAUCCCUUUGUGAGGAUUGCUGAACUUUGUUAACUGACAUCUUAACUUCGUAACAUCGGACAGCUGGAGAGGCUUCAGCAUGAAUUCUUGAGCUCCUUCAUCCAGGCACCUGUUCAAGCAAAGAAAACAUAAGAGGUAACAAAAAAAUAAUUUUUGGGAAACAAGAAAAUUAAGAAAACACCAAAUUUUAUGGGUUUCUAGUAGUGGUUGUUACUUCUUAAUUCGUGUAGGGACAUUCUCGGAUGACACUACCACCACUGGUAUAUGCUUCAUGGAAGGUGACUCCUGCUUGCAGAGAAAGAUCUGCUGGUUAGGCAGUUAUAUACAUAUGAAUACUUACUCAGUUACUCUGCCAUCAGCUCUAUACAUUCUUCUAAUAAUACUCUAAUGCUUUUCACUGCUAUGUAAUGAUUAAUCGAGUGGGAAAUCAUGAAUAUCUGUAGAGACUGAGAUCUGAUGCAAUCAAAUACAAAUAUGAUGAGAAGGGUUGUGUCA
RNA transcript from Carya illinoinensis, 3472 nucleotides. RefSeq lists it as uncharacterized. The record is from RefSeq and is a predicted model, not a curated record. Lineage: Eukaryota; Viridiplantae; Streptophyta; Magnoliopsida; Fagales; Juglandaceae. The transcript has 19 exons.